GUUGCUGUUUAUUUGUAAGAAGGUGUGUUUACAGCAGUGGCUAGCAUAAGGUUGCUGUUUAUUUGUAAGAAGGCAUGUAUACAGCAGUGGCUAGCAUAAGGUUGCUGUUUAUUUGUAAGAAGGUGUGUUUACAGCAGUGGCUAGCAUAAGGUUGCUGUUUAUUUGUAAGAAGGUGUGUCUACAGCAGUGGCUAGCAUAAGGUUGCUGUUUAUUUGUAAGAAGGUGUGUUUACAGCAGUGGCUAGCAUAAGGUUGCUGUUUAUUUGUAAGAAGGUGUGUUUACAGCAGUGGCUAGCAUAAGGUUGCUGUUUAUUUGUAAGAAGGUGUGUUUACAGCAGUGGCUAGCAUAAGGUUGCUGUUUAUUUGUAAGAAGGUGUGUUUACAGCAGUGGCUAGCAUAAGGUUGCUGUUUAUUUGUAAGAAGGUGUGUUUACAGCAGUGGCUAGCAUAAGGUUGCUGUUUAUUUGUAAGAAGGUGUGUCUACAGCAGUGGCUAGCAUAAGGUUGCUGUUUAUUUGUAAGAAGGUGUGUUUACAGCAGUGGCUAGCAUAAGGUUGCUGUUUAUUUGUAAGAAGGUGUGUUUACAGCAGUGGCUAGCAUAAGGUUGCUGUUUAUUUGUAAGAAGGUGUGUCUACAGCAGUGGCUAGCAUAAGGUUGCUGUUUAUUUGUAAGAAGGUGUGUUUACAGCAGUGGCUAGCAUAAGGUUGCUGUUUAUUUGUAAGAAGGUGUGUUUACAGCAGUGGCUAGCAUAAGGUUGCUGUUUAUUUGUAAGAAGGUGUGUAUACAGCAGUGGCUAGCAUAAGGUUGCUGUUUAUUUGUAAGAAGGUGUGUCUACAGCAG
Molecule: long non-coding RNA, 837 nt
Organism: Mytilus californianus (California mussel)
Lineage: Eukaryota; Metazoa; Mollusca; Bivalvia; Mytilida; Mytilidae
Exons: 6
Source: RefSeq, a predicted model, not a curated record